Hysterangium stoloniferum is the source of this 95-nucleotide non-coding RNA. The record is from the annotation of a GenBank genome assembly. Lineage: Eukaryota; Fungi; Basidiomycota; Agaricomycetes; Hysterangiales; Hysterangiaceae.
GCCUUGCUAGCUCAAUCGGUAGAGUGUAAGACUCUUACAGUCCCUCUGACCGGGUAAGAGUCUUAAGGUUACGGGUUCGAUCCCUGUGUGAGGUU